UACAGAGGUCUCAAGCGUUGUUCGGAUUCAUUGGGCGUAAAGGGUGCGUAGGCGGCGCGGUAAGUCGGGUGUGAAAUCUCGGAGCUUAACUCCGAAACUGCAUUCGAUACUGCCGUGCUUGAGGACUGGAGAGGAGACUGGAAUUUAUGGUGUAGCGGUGAAAUGCGUAGAUAUCGUAAGGAAGACCAGUGGCGAAGGCGGGUCUCUGGACAGUUCCUGACGCUGAGGCACGAAGGUCAGGGGAGCAAACGGG
Molecule: ribosomal RNA, 253 nt
Filed under: uncultured bacterium
Lineage: Bacteria
Description: partial 16S ribosomal RNA
Rfam family: Bacterial small subunit ribosomal RNA
Source: RNAcentral